RNAcentral lists this ribosomal RNA (492 nucleotides) under uncultured bacterium. RNAcentral's name for it is "partial 16S ribosomal RNA". It matches the Rfam family "Bacterial small subunit ribosomal RNA", at positions 29 to 507 of the family's 1533-position model. The record is from RNAcentral.
AGUGAACGCUGGCGGUAGGCCUAACACAUGCCAGUCGAACGGCAGCACAGUAAGAGCUUGCUCUUACGGGUGGCGAGUGGCGGACGGGUGAGGAAUACAUCGGAAUCUACUUUUUCGUGGGGGAUAACGUAGGGAAACUUACGCUAAUACCGCAUACGACCUACGGGUGAAAGCAGGGGAUCUUCGGACCUUGCGCGAUUGAAUGAGCCGCUGUCGGGUUAGCUAGUUGGCGGGGUAAAGGCCCACCAAGGCGACGAUCCGUAGCUGGUCUGAGAGGAUGAUCAGCCACACUGGAACGGAGACACGGUCCAGACGCCUACGGGAGGCAGCAGUGGGGAAUAUUGGACAAUGGGCGCAAGCCUGAUCCAGCCAUACCGCGUGGGUGAAGAAGGCCUUCGGGUUGUAAAGACCUUUUGUGGGGAAAGAAAAGCAGCAGGUUAAGACCCCGCUGUUCUGACGGUACCCAAAGAAUAAGCACCGGCUAACUUCGUG